CCACAAUCAGCGCUCGAGCCCAGACAAUCUAUCCCGAUUCCUCCAAGCAACGACCAGGAAAAUCCAACAAUCAACGACGGCAAUGGUGAAUACUCGGGCAUCUGGAUCUGCAACGACUGACGGAAAAGUGUAUCAGAGGAGGAACACUAAAACCAAGCCACCGCGGAUCCCCAAAGCUCAAACCAGGGUUGUACCACAAAACAAAACAACACCGCAAUCCAACAAAGGGAAGGAGGCUGAUGCAAAAACUCCAAUUCCUGUUAACG
Molecule: long non-coding RNA, 266 nt
Organism: Salvia splendens (bonfire salvia)
Lineage: Eukaryota; Viridiplantae; Streptophyta; Magnoliopsida; Lamiales; Lamiaceae
Exons: 3
Source: RefSeq, a predicted model, not a curated record